GCUGGCGGCGUGCCUAUACAUGCAGUCGAACGCUUCUUUCCUCCCGAGUGCUUGCACUCAAUUGGAAAGAGGAGUGGCGGACGGGUGAGUAACACGUGGGUAACCUACCCAUCAGAGGGGGAUAACACUUGGAAACAGGUGCUAAUACCGCAUAACAGUUUAUGCCGCAUGGCAUAAGAGUGAAAGGCGCUUUCGGGUGUCGCUGAUGGAUGGACCCGCGGUGCAUUAGCUAGUUGGUGAGGUAACGGCUCACCAAGGCCACGAUGCAUAGCCGACCUGAGAGGGUGAUCGGCCACACUGGGACUGAGACACGGCCCAGA
Molecule: ribosomal RNA, 320 nt
Filed under: Enterococcus faecalis
Lineage: Bacteria; Bacillati; Bacillota; Bacilli; Lactobacillales; Enterococcaceae
Description: bacterial SSU rRNA
Rfam family: Bacterial small subunit ribosomal RNA
Source: RNAcentral